AAAACUGAUCGGAACCUUCGGCCUUUUGGGGCUCGUGGUUGUGUGGUCGCUGGCCGGCAUGGCGAUUGCCCAAACCCCUUGGCUUGCGGCAUCGAAGCUUGCUCAGGCGAUCUUCUANNNNNNNNNNNGGCCUCGGCUGGGUCCUGCCCGCAAUGCCGCUGAUCGCAUGGAUGUCGCGGCCGGAUCCUCAGCCGUAGUUGGUGGCCGGUUCCGGCGAAUGCGCCUUC
Molecule: unclassified non-coding RNA, 227 nt
Filed under: Hevea brasiliensis (rubber tree)
Lineage: Eukaryota; Viridiplantae; Streptophyta; Magnoliopsida; Malpighiales; Euphorbiaceae
Source: RNAcentral